GGUCAGGGUCUGGGCGACGCUGGCGGCGUGCUUAACACAUGCAAGUCGAACGAUGAAGCCGGGGCUUUUUGUUUUGGUGGAUUAGUGGCGAACGGGUGAGUAAUACGUGAGUAACCUGCCCUUGUCUUUGGGAUAAGCCUGGGAAACUGGGUCUAAUACCGGAUAUUCUGCUUUUGCCGCAUGGUGGGGGUUGGAAAGAUUUUUUGGAUGGGGAUGGGCUCACGGCCUAUCAGCUUGUUGGUGGGGUGAUGGCCUACCAAGGCGUCGACGGGUAGCCGGCCUGAGAGGGUGACCGGCCACAUUGGGACUGAGAUACGGCCCAGACUCCUACGGGAGGCAGCAGUGGGGAAUAUUGCACAAUGGACGCAAGUCUGAUGCAGCGACGCCGCGUGGGGGAUGAAGGCUUUCGGGUUGUAAACUCCUUUCAGUACAGAAGAAGCAUUUUUGUGACGGUAUGUGCAGAAGAAGCGCCGGCUAACUACGUGCCAGCAGCCGCGGUAAUACGUAGGGCGCGAGCGUUGUCCGGAAUUAUUGGGCGUAAAGAGCUCGUAGGCGGUUUGUUGCGCCUGCUGUGAAAGACCGGGGCUUAACUUCGGGGUUGCAGUGGGUACGGGCAGACUAGAGUGUGGUAGGGGUAAUUGGAAUUCCUGGUGUAGCGGUGGAAUGCGCAGAUAUCAGGAGGAACACCGAUGGCGAAGGCAGGUUACUGGGCCAUUACUGACGCUGAGGAGCGAAAGCGUGGGUAGCGAACAGGAUUAGAUACCCUGGUAGUCCACGCUGUAAACGUUGGGCACUAGGUGUGGGGGCCUUUUCCACGGGUUCUGCGCCGUAGCUAACGCUUUAAGUGCCCCGCCUGGGGAGUACGGCCCGCAAGGUUAAAACUCAAAGGAAUUGACGGGGGCCCGCACAAGCGGCGGAGCAUGCGGAUUAAUUCGAUUGCAACGCGAAGAACCUUACCCAUGGCUUGACAUACACUUGCGAUGUGCCAAGAGAUGGUGCAGCCUUUCUGGUGGUGUACAGGGUGAUGCAUGUUUGGUCGUCCGCUUCGUCGGCCUCGAGACGGUCGGAUAUA
Molecule: ribosomal RNA, 1072 nt
Filed under: Trueperella pyogenes
Lineage: Bacteria; Bacillati; Actinomycetota; Actinomycetes; Actinomycetales; Actinomycetaceae
Description: bacterial SSU rRNA
Rfam family: Bacterial small subunit ribosomal RNA
Source: RNAcentral